GGCCAUGAAAACAUUGUUCGUGUG
This 24-nucleotide non-coding RNA is filed under the name Arabidopsis thaliana (thale cress). The record is from RNAcentral. Lineage: Eukaryota; Viridiplantae; Streptophyta; Magnoliopsida; Brassicales; Brassicaceae.